Molecule: long non-coding RNA, 426 nt
Organism: Haliotis rubra (blacklip abalone)
Lineage: Eukaryota; Metazoa; Mollusca; Gastropoda; Lepetellida; Haliotidae
Exons: 3
Source: RefSeq, a predicted model, not a curated record
GACCUCCACUUACUAAUUUCAAGGGUCCUUAUGUGAAAUAUGAGGUUCUGUAAGGCAAUGAAAUGUAAUAAUUAUCUCCAUCAAACUUUGUCUGUCUCACAUCUCACACAGGACAUGAAAUAAAUGGAUUAUAUCUAUAUGGCCACAUGUGAAAACAGAUUGUAUCAAACACAUUGAACAAAUAUCCUCAAGAGUCUUGUUGGUUGUUAGAAGGAAAUCCUGAAAUGAAACUUUCAGUAUAGGAGUGUAAUGCAGGGUUUUAAAAGACGCAGAAAUGUGCGUCCAAUACACAAAAUGUAUAGAAAGAAUGCAGAAAAUUACACAUACUAUGUCCCAUGGGAUGCAUGAUAAUAUUCGAAAUUUGAGACAAGAAAUAUAAAGUUCAUGUUAUCAAAGUAUUAUUCAAACCUUUAAUAAAUUAACAGC